GCAAUCCAGGUCGGUUUCUAUCUAUGUUAUAACCCUUCCUAGUACGAAAGGACCGGAAGGAGUAAGGCCUCUAUUAAAAACAUGCCUUAUCCCCAUCCGAUGCCCCCAACUAAAUCGGCAAAGGGAAAUACCGCCAAGUCAAAGAUA
This 147-nucleotide ribosomal RNA is filed under the name Arapaima gigas (arapaima). RNAcentral's name for it is "partial 16S ribosomal RNA". Lineage: Eukaryota; Metazoa; Chordata; Actinopteri; Osteoglossiformes; Osteoglossidae. The record is from RNAcentral.